UGUUGCGAUGAGACAGAAUUUGGAUUACUUAAGCCACGCGUACAGAAACUUUUUAGAAUGAAAGAGUUUGUUCGUUUGGCUCGAGUUAUGCCGGUUCUAAAUUGCAGCA
RNAcentral lists this non-coding RNA (109 nucleotides) under Anopheles gambiae (African malaria mosquito). RNAcentral's name for it is "microRNA aga-mir-375 precursor". Its record names the gene aga-mir-375. The stretch from base 23 to 91 matches the Rfam family "mir-375 microRNA precursor family". Lineage: Eukaryota; Metazoa; Arthropoda; Insecta; Diptera; Culicidae. The record is from miRBase by way of RNAcentral. RNAcentral also lists the same sequence under 1 other name.